RNAcentral lists this ribosomal RNA (440 nucleotides) under uncultured bacterium. Its description in RNAcentral is "partial 16S ribosomal RNA". It matches the Rfam family "Bacterial small subunit ribosomal RNA", at positions 339 to 795 of the family's 1533-position model. The record is from RNAcentral.
CUACGGGUGGCAGCAGUAACGAAUAUUCCGCAAUGCGCGAAAGCGUGACGGAGCAAUGCCGCGUGCAGGAUGAAGCCCCUCGGGGUGUAAACUGCUGUCAGGGGUUAGAAACUCAAUGAUCAACCCCAAAGGAAGAGCCGGCUAACUCUGUGCCAGCAGCCGCGGUAAUACAGAGGGCUCGAGCGUUAAUCGGAAUCACUGGGCUUAAAGGGUACGUAGGCGGAUGUAUAAGUAUCUUGUGAAAUCCCACGGCUUAACCGUGGAACUGCUCGGUAUACUAUAUGUCUUGAGGUCGGUAGGGGCUGCCGGAACUCUAGGUGGAGCGGUGAAAUGCGUAGAUAUCUAGAGGAACGCCAAUAGUGAAGACAGGCAGCUGGGCCGAUUCUGACGCUGAGGUACGAAAGCGUGGGUAGCGAACGGGAUUAGAUACCCGCGUAGUC